This is a long non-coding RNA of Cimex lectularius (bed bug), 300 nucleotides long. RefSeq lists it as uncharacterized. The record is from RefSeq and is a predicted model, not a curated record. The transcript has 3 exons. NCBI's taxonomy places the organism in Eukaryota, Metazoa, Arthropoda, Insecta, Hemiptera, Cimicidae.
AUAAAAAAGUUUCAUUUAAACAGAGUCCGGGGGAAAGAAGUCGCGGGUAAAAACCAGUAUAUUCGUAUUCUAGAAAAUAGAUUUAAAGCCGGCUGAUGAUGGAGGAUUGAGUACCUCAUCGACCUUAUCUAGAACGGUUUUCAGCAUUUUACUCACUUCAGUGGAAGAUCAGACGAUUGAAACGAGUCUGACAGUCGAAACAAGCGAGAUUGAACGGACCAUUAUAGAAAAAAAUGAAGAAAAAACAAUAUUCUGGCAUAAUAGUGGAUGAUUAUUCCACAACAGAACCAAAGACCAUUU